GCUCCCAUAGUUCAACGGAUAGAACGGGGGUUUCCUAAACCCUAAAUCCAGGUUCGAUUCCCGGUGGGGGCACCA
Molecule: transfer RNA, 75 nt
Filed under: Candidatus Chisholmbacteria bacterium RIFCSPHIGHO2_01_FULL_48_12
Lineage: Bacteria; Candidatus Chisholmiibacteriota
Description: tRNA-Arg
Rfam family: tRNA
About the family: Transfer RNA (tRNA) molecules are approximately 80 nucleotides in length.
Source: RNAcentral